ACGAACGCUGGCGGCAGGCCUAACACAUGCAAGUCGAGCGCCCCGCAAGGGGAGCGGCGGACGGGUGAGUAACGCGUGGGAACGUACCCUUUGCUACGGAAUAGCCUCGGGAAACUGGGAGUAAUACCGUAUGUGUCCUUCGGGAGAAAGAUUUAUCGGCAAGGGAUCGGCCCGCGUUGGAUUAGGUAGUUGGUGGGGUAAUGGCCUACCAAGCCGACGAUCCAUAGCUGGUUUGAGAGGAUGAUCAGCCACACUGGGACUGAGACACGGCCCAGACUCCUACGGGAGGCAGCAGUGGGGAAUCUUAGACAAUGGGCGCAAGCCUGAUCUAGCCAUGCCGCGUGAGCGAUGAAGGCCUUAGGGUUGUAAAGCUCUUUCAGGGGGGAAGAUAAUGACUGUACCCCCAGAAGAAGCCCCGGCUAACUCCGUG
This 430-nucleotide ribosomal RNA is filed under the name uncultured bacterium. RNAcentral's name for it is "partial 16S ribosomal RNA". It matches the Rfam family "Bacterial small subunit ribosomal RNA", at positions 29 to 507 of the family's 1533-position model. The record is from RNAcentral.